RNAcentral lists this transfer RNA (48 nucleotides) under Macquaria ambigua (golden perch). RNAcentral describes it as "partial tRNA-Pro". The record is from RNAcentral. Lineage: Eukaryota; Metazoa; Chordata; Actinopteri; Centrarchiformes; Percichthyidae.
CAAAGAAUAGUUUAAAUUAGAACCCUAGCUUUGGGAGUUAGAGGUGGA